This 371-nucleotide ribosomal RNA is filed under the name uncultured organism. RNAcentral describes it as "partial 16S ribosomal RNA". It matches the Rfam family "Bacterial small subunit ribosomal RNA", at positions 527 to 896 of the family's 1533-position model. The record is from RNAcentral.
GUAGGGUGCGAGCGUUAAUCGGAAUUACUGGGCGUAAAGCGUGCGCAGGCGGCUUUGCAAGACAGAUGUGAAAUCCCCGGGCUCAACCUGGGAACUGCAUUUGUGACUGCAAGGCUAGAGUACGGCAGAGGGGGAUGGAAUUCCGCGUGUAGCAGUGAAAUGCGUAGAUAUGCGGAGGAACACCGAUGGCGAAGGCAAUCCCCUGGGCCUGUACUGACGCUCAUGCACGAAAGCGUGGGGAGCAAACAGGAUUAGAUACCCUGGUAGUCCACGCCCCUAAACGAUGUCAACUGGUUGUUGGACGGCUUGCUGUUCAGUAACGAAGCUAACGCGUGAAGUUGACCCGCCUGGGGAGUACGGCCGCAAGGUUG